GCCGGGAGUCGGGCGGACGGGCGCGUCGCCAACCCGGUCAGGUCCGGAAGGAAGCAGCCGUAACGAUUUUCGCACGGGUCGUUCCGGCUCCCACCCUC
RNAcentral lists this signal recognition particle RNA (98 nucleotides) under Sphingosinicella soli. RNAcentral's name for it is "Bacterial small signal recognition particle RNA". It matches the Rfam family "Bacterial small signal recognition particle RNA". From Rfam's summary of the family: The signal recognition particle (SRP) is a universally conserved ribonucleoprotein involved in the co-translational targeting of proteins to membranes. Archaeal SRP consists of a 7S RNA and homologues of the eukaryotic SRP19 and SRP54 proteins. Lineage: Bacteria; Pseudomonadati; Pseudomonadota; Alphaproteobacteria; Sphingomonadales; Sphingosinicellaceae. RNAcentral also lists the same sequence under 1 other name. The record is from Rfam by way of RNAcentral.